AAAAACAUCUUUUCUUGUUAGUUUUUGAAGUAUGGCCUGCCCACUGACUUGAAGUUGAAGGGCCGCGGUAUUUUGACCGUGCAAAGGUAGCAUAAUCAUUAGUUCUUUAAUUGUGAUCUGGUAUGAAUGGCUUGACGAGACAUAAGCUGUCUUAGAAGUAUUGGUUUAUUGAAUUUGGUUUUUGAGUUAAAAUUCUUAAAUGUUUUUAUGGGACGAGAAGACCCUAUAGAGUUUAACAAUUUUCUUAUUUAUUCGUUGUUUGUAUUUAUUUACAUUGAGUGGGAGUAAUUGUUUUGUUGGGGUGAUGGGAGGAAUAUUAUCUAACUCCUCUUUGUUUUUGUAUAUUUAUGUAUAUUUUUUUGAUCCAUUUAUUUUGAUUAUAAGAUUAAAUUACC
This 395-nucleotide ribosomal RNA is filed under the name Nasutitermes sp. 13 NCCPB-2018. Its description in RNAcentral is "partial large subunit ribosomal RNA". Lineage: Eukaryota; Metazoa; Arthropoda; Insecta; Blattodea; Termitidae. The record is from RNAcentral.